Molecule: ribosomal RNA, 253 nt
Filed under: uncultured bacterium
Lineage: Bacteria
Description: partial 16S ribosomal RNA
Rfam family: Bacterial small subunit ribosomal RNA
Source: RNAcentral
UACGUAGGGUGCAAGCGUUGUCCGGAAUUAUUGGGCGUAAAGAGCGUGUAGGCGGCCCGAUUAGUCCGCUGUGAAAGUCCAGGGCUCAACCCUGGAAUGCCGGUGGAUACUAUCGGGCUAGAGUCCGGAAGGGGCGAGUGGAAUUCCUGGUGUAGCGGUGAAAUGCGCAGAUAUCAGGAAGAACACCCGUGGCGAAGGCGGCUCUCUGGGACGGUACUGACGCUGAGACGCGAAAGCGUGGGGAGCGAACAGG